This 462-nucleotide unclassified non-coding RNA is filed under the name uncultured Glomus. RNAcentral's name for it is "SSU rRNA". It matches the Rfam family "Eukaryotic small subunit ribosomal RNA", at positions 569 to 1039 of the family's 1831-position model. The record is from RNAcentral. Lineage: Eukaryota; Fungi; Glomeromycota; Glomeromycetes; Glomerales; Glomeraceae.
AGCAGCCGCGGUAAUUCCAGCUCCAAUAGCGUAUAUUAAAGUUGUUGCAGUUAAAAGCUCGUAGUUGAAUUUCGGGGUCAGUAGAUUGGUCAUGCCUCCGGUAUGUACUAGUCUUACUGGCUCCUCCUUCCUGAUGAACCGUAAUGCCAUUAAUUUGGUGUUGCGGGGAGACUGGACUGUUACUUUGAAAAAUUGAGUGUUUAAAGCAGGCUAACGCUUGAAUACAUUAGCAUGGAAUAAUGAAAUAGGACGUUCGAUCUUAUUUUGUUGGUUUCUAAGAUUGACGUAAUGAUUAAUAGGGAUAGUUGGGGGCAUUAGUAUUCAAUUGUCAGAGGUGAAAUUCUUGGAUUUAUUGAAGACUAACUACUGCGAAAGCAUUUGCCAAGGAUGUUUUCAUUAAUCAAGAACGAAAGUUAGGGAUCGAAGACGAUCAGAUACCGUCGUAGUCUUAACCAUAAACUA